RNAcentral lists this ribosomal RNA (494 nucleotides) under uncultured bacterium. RNAcentral describes it as "partial 16S ribosomal RNA". It matches the Rfam family "Bacterial small subunit ribosomal RNA", at positions 28 to 507 of the family's 1533-position model. The record is from RNAcentral.
GACGAACGCUGGCGGCGCGCUUAACACAUGCAAGUCGAACGGAAAGGCCUGCUUUCCCUUGUGGAUUGCGGGUACUCGAGUGGCGAACGGGUGAGUAACACGUGAGUGAUCUGCCCCCAACUUGGGUAUAAGCCUGGGAAACUGGGUCUAAUUCCCGAUAGGACUGCAGGGUGGUGCCUGUGGUGGAAAACGAUUUUCUAGUGGUUGGGGAUGAGCUCGCGGCCUAUCAGCUUGUUGGUGGGGUAAUGGCCUACCAAGGCGGCGACGGGUAGCCGGCCUGAGAGGGUGGACGGCCACAGUGGGACUGAGAUACGGCCCAGACUCCUACGGGAGGCAGCAGUGGGGAAUAUUGCACAAUGGGCGGAAGCCUGAUGCAGCGACGCCGCGUGGGGGAUGACGGCCUUCGGGUGGUAAACUCCUUUCGACCGCGAGGAAGCCACCUGGUUGGAAGGGUGGUGACGGUAGUGGUAGAAGAAGCACCGGCUAACUACGUG